AGCGAACGCUGGCGGCAGGCCUAACACAUGCAAGUCGAACGAACUUUUCGGAGUUAGUGGCGGACGGGUGAGUAACACGUGGGAACGUGCCUUUUGGUUCGGAAUAACUCAGGGAAACUUGUGCUAAUACCGAAUGUGCCCUUCGGGGGAAAGAUUUAUCGCCAUUAGAGCGGCCCGCGUCUGAUUAGCUAGUUGGUGAGGUAACGGCUCACCAAGGCGACGAUCAGUAGCUGGUCUGAGAGGAUGACCAGCCACAUUGGGACUGAGACACGGCCCAGACUCCUACGGGAGGCAGCAGUGGGGAAUCUUGCGCAAUGGGCGAAAGCCUGACGCAGCCAUGCCGCGUGAAUGAUGAAGGUCUUAGGAUUGUAAAAUUCUUUCACCGGGGACGAUAAUGACGGUACCCGGAGAAGAAGCCCCGGCUAACUUCGUG
Molecule: ribosomal RNA, 433 nt
Filed under: uncultured bacterium
Lineage: Bacteria
Description: partial 16S ribosomal RNA
Rfam family: Bacterial small subunit ribosomal RNA
Source: RNAcentral